CCAAACCAUGGCUCACCUUUUUAAAGAGAAGCCCCGAUAUCCAAGCAAAAGAAGAGUUAUGGAAGCACAUUCAAAAAGAACUUGUGGAUCCAUCCGGAUUGUCUGAAGAACAAUUAAAAGAGAUUCCGUACACUAAAAUAGAGUGAGUGCCUUUCAGAAUCUUCUCACAAAAGCUUUAUUAGUGCUUGACACAAGGUGACCCAAUCCGCAUCAGGCAUUCUCAUUCGCCACGAAGUUACCGCCAGUAUCGCAGGUCCCAGUGUUCAGAUGGGGAGCGAUCAGUUCUCUCGGAAGUGAAUUCAAAAACAGAUCUUGUACCACCACUUCCAGUGACCCGUUCUUCGGAUGCUCAGGGUUCUGGGGACGCUACAGUUCAUCAGAGAAGAAAUGGGUCUAAAGAUAGCCUGAUGGAAGAAAAACCUCAGACAUCUACAAACAACCUGGCUGGAAAACACACAGCAAAAACAAUAAAAACUAUACAAGCUUCCCGCCUCAAGA
Molecule: small RNA, 498 nt
Filed under: Pan troglodytes (chimpanzee)
Lineage: Eukaryota; Metazoa; Chordata; Mammalia; Primates; Hominidae
Description: processed transcript
Source: RNAcentral